Long non-coding RNA from Ziziphus jujuba (common jujube), 585 nucleotides. RefSeq lists it as uncharacterized. The transcript has 2 exons. Lineage: Eukaryota; Viridiplantae; Streptophyta; Magnoliopsida; Rosales; Rhamnaceae. The record is from RefSeq and is a predicted model, not a curated record.
AAGACAUCAUAUUCAAAGUCCGGGUUUGAAGAAGAAGAAGAAGAAGAAGGAGGUAAAGAAGAGAGAUGCGAUUGGUAUGUCGGAAACUUCCCCUGCUUGGAUUUCAUUAGAGGAUUUGCCAUCUAAGUUUCAGAUCGAAAACCAACAACAUCUCCCCCUCACAAAUUCUUUGCUAAUGCUCGCACAUCUUUUAAAUCUACAGCAAAAUUCUUAUGAUUCAUAAAGUAGUGGAGAAACGUUGCCAUUGCCAGCAGCAGUAGCAUCAGGACAUUAAUGGAACUUCCGAUAAUCUGCCAUUGCUGGAACUUCCUAAUUGAUGUGUUCAAGUUGGUUUGUUUUCUUUUCUUUUAUGAAUUUGCCCAUGUGGAUGUAUUCAUAUUUGCCUAUGAGUGAAACCCAGUUCUAUGUGCUUUUAUUUACUCUCUUUUUGUUCAUUUGCCCCUUUACUCUGUCAAGGAAUUAGCAUUUUGGUUGUAAAAAUGAUGUUGAGUUUUACAGUUCAUUUAGCGAGGAGUGCAAAAGGUAUGUGGAACUGUCAAUUUUGCUUACAAUUGUGAUAUUAUUUUAUAAUUUCUAUUUACUAAA